This 544-nucleotide unclassified non-coding RNA is filed under the name Ixodes scapularis (black-legged tick). RNAcentral describes it as "uncharacterized LOC120838008, transcript variant X3". The record is from RNAcentral. Lineage: Eukaryota; Metazoa; Arthropoda; Arachnida; Ixodida; Ixodidae.
GGAAAAGAAAACAAGCCAAAUCGACAUUUACGUCGCCUGAAUCCAUGUGAUAGACAGCAUGGUGAAGAACAUACCCAAAUGGGCCGGAAUCGGACAAGACCCAGGUGGGCUGUGGACCACUGCCAGUCUUCGUCGUCGCCGCAAUGUUCAGGUCUGCUCCGAGGUUGUCCACCCCCCUUCAUCAGCCCACUGCGGCCGAGAUGGCGCCGAACCCCUCGGGCGAUGUGUCUGGGACUUCCCCAGCUGGUCUCCGCUGGUGGGCGGCGGUCGUUGGUCUUUUUGGUGCUUCCGCCUUCACGACCGCCUGGCUGCCCCCCACUGCAGGCCAGCUCGUACCGCGACACCUGUGUCCAGUUGUAUCAGCACGCGCCUGUGAUGCUGUGGAAGGUUGUGAUGGCCGCGUUCGUGCACCUGGACGAACUUUCGGGUUUUCGGUCCUGCGCGCCAGCUGUUGACGGCAGAGACUGUGAAGACGCGCGCUGGGUGUCGCGUGUAUUUGUUGGGGGUGCGCAGAGAGAUAUUAUUUUAUGAGAGCAGGUGGGCC